GUGAUCCACCCGCCUCGGCCUCCCAAAGUGCUGGGAUUACAGGCGUGAGCCACCGCGCCCAGCCUAAAUGGGACAUCUUUUAACACUCCUUCCAGAGAAACCUAUAUAUUAGCUCGGCAGGGGCACACUGUUUCCAGCCUGUGCGGCAGCUAGGUGUGACCAUGUGACCAAGUCCUGACCAAUGAGAGAGACAAAGUGAGAAGGCGAGUUAAAUACGUUUUGAUGAAGAUAG
RNAcentral lists this long non-coding RNA (232 nucleotides) under Homo sapiens (human). Its description in RNAcentral is "HSALNT0289981". The record is from RNAcentral. Lineage: Eukaryota; Metazoa; Chordata; Mammalia; Primates; Hominidae.